AACAAACGCUGGCGGCGUGCCUAAUACAUGCAAGUCGAACGGGUAGCAAUACCAGUGGCGCACGGGUGAGGAAUACAUAGAUAAUCUGCCCUCGAGUCGGGGAUAACCAGUCGAAAGAUUGGCUAAUACCGGAUAAGACCACAGGAGCUGAGGCUCUAGGGGUUAAAGGUUUUUCGCUUGAAGAUGAGUCUAUGCGAGAUUAGCUAGUUGGUGAGGUAAUGGCUCACCAAGGCGACGAUCUCUAACUGGUCUUAGAGGAUGAUCAGUCACACUGGAACUGAGACACGGUCCAGACUCCUACGGGAGGCAGCAGUAGGGAAUAUUGCGCAAUGGGGGAAACCCUGACGCAGCGACGCCGCGUGAGUGAUGAAGGCCUUCGGGUCGUAAAGCUCUGUCGUAUGGGAAUAACACAAUGAAUGUACCAUGCAAGAAAGGAUCGGCUAACUUCGUGCCAGCCGCCGCCGUAA
Molecule: ribosomal RNA, 467 nt
Filed under: uncultured bacterium
Lineage: Bacteria
Description: partial 16S ribosomal RNA
Rfam family: Bacterial small subunit ribosomal RNA
Source: RNAcentral